GAUGAAGAACGUAGCGAAAUGCGAUAAGUAGUGUGAAUUGCAGAAUUCAGUGAAUCAUCGAAUCUUUGAACGCACAUUGCGCCCUCUGGUAUUCCGGAGGGCAUGCCUGUUCGAGCGUCAUUAAAACUACUCAAGCUAAGGUUUUUUUUUACCUUCUGCUUGGUCUUGGGUUUGAGGAUUCAAAAUCCUCUCUCCGAAAUCCAGUGGCGAAUUGUUUGAGCUGUAGACGUAGUAAAUCAUUCUACCCGUUGCAAGCGAGAAUAAUAUUCAGCCAUAACCCCCAUACUUUUCUAGUUUGACCUCGGAUCAGGUAGGGAUACCCGCUGAACUUAAGCAUAUCAAUAAGCGGAGGA
This 353-nucleotide unclassified non-coding RNA is filed under the name soil metagenome. RNAcentral describes it as "partial contains 5.8S ribosomal RNA, internal transcribed spacer 2, and large subunit ribosomal RNA". The stretch from base 1 to 120 matches the Rfam family "5.8S ribosomal RNA", at positions 35 to 154 of the family's 154-position model. The record is from RNAcentral.